RNAcentral lists this ribosomal RNA (385 nucleotides) under uncultured bacterium. Its description in RNAcentral is "bacterial SSU rRNA". It matches the Rfam family "Bacterial small subunit ribosomal RNA", at positions 29 to 416 of the family's 1533-position model. The record is from RNAcentral.
AUUGAACGCUGGCGGAAUGCUUUACACAUGCAAGUCGAGCGGCAGCGCGGGGCAACCUGGCGGCGAGCGGCGAACGGGUGAGUAACACAUCGGAACGUGCCCAGGAGUGGGGGGAUAGCCCGGCGAAAGCCGGAUUAAUACCGCAUACGAACUGAGGUUGAAAGCGGGGGACCGAAAGGCCUCGCGCUCGUGGAGCAGCCGAUGGCAGAUUAGGUAGUUGGUGGGGUAAAGGCCCACCAAGCCUGCGAUCUGUAGCUGGUCUGAGAGGACGACCAGCCACACUGGGACUGAGACACGGCCCAGACUCCUACGGGAGGCAGCAGUGGGGAAUUUUGGACAAUGGGCGCAAGCCUGAUCCAGCCAUUCCGCGUGCAGGACGAAGGCC